UGGAGCUGAAUGUUCAGACGCUUGAGGGUC
This 30-nucleotide non-coding RNA is filed under the name Homo sapiens (human). Lineage: Eukaryota; Metazoa; Chordata; Mammalia; Primates; Hominidae. The record is from RNAcentral.